This is a small nuclear RNA of Prolemur simus (greater bamboo lemur), 107 nucleotides long. NCBI's taxonomy places the organism in Eukaryota, Metazoa, Chordata, Mammalia, Primates, Lemuridae. The record is from Ensembl.
GAGCUCACUUCGGCCACACAUAUGCUAAAAUUGGAACAAUACAGAGUAGAUUAGCAUGUCCCCUGCACAAGGAUGACAUGCAAAUUUGUGAAGCAUUGCAUAUUUUU